Molecule: non-coding RNA, 668 nt
Organism: Paramuricea clavata
Lineage: Eukaryota; Metazoa; Cnidaria; Anthozoa; Malacalcyonacea; Plexauridae
Source: the annotation of a GenBank genome assembly
GAACUCCUUAAAUGCAAUUUCCAAAUGCAUAAUUGAAUAUAUAAAUUUUGGUGGAUAUCACACAUCAUAACUGUAUGUUAAUUAAUGUAACAAAUGUUGCCUGGCAAAUGCAUUUUUAGCCAGUCUGGGGCACUUGGUUUUCAAAAAUAUUUUGGGGAGCAUUGUCUCCUUUAAGCUGCUCUUUGUGUCGAGGAUUCUCCCCAUGAAGAGUUGCUCAUUUGAGGACAACAUUCCAUCCCUUUUGUCUCAUGUAUCAAUAUUACAAAAGUUCUCUGCUUUCCAUAUUUUCACAUUGGCAUAAUUCUGUGCAUUGUAAAUCCGCUUUCCAUAGCCGGAUUUUGAGGUGGGCACCUCCCCUGAAAUAGUUUUGCACCUCCCCUGAGAAUUUUUGCACCUCUCCUAAAACGUCAUAUGCACCUCCCCUUGAAGUUUCAAUGAUAGAUGAAACUAAAAAUUUGACAUUUUUUGGUUGUUCAGGGUCUACACUUGGUAAGAAAGUUUUCCUUUAAAAUUGAAACAGUGAUAACCAUUCAUCUCUAUCAAGUACCCUUUCAAUAAUCUAUCAAGUACACCAGAUUGGCUAAAAAUGAAUAUCCCAUGCAACAUUUGUUAUGUCACUCUAUAAUCUAUACAUUUAUGCACUAUCACACUAUGAAUGAAGAUGGAUG